Molecule: long non-coding RNA, 556 nt
Filed under: Cucumis sativus (cucumber)
Lineage: Eukaryota; Viridiplantae; Streptophyta; Magnoliopsida; Cucurbitales; Cucurbitaceae
Description: long non-coding RNA (CSAT_LNC002563)
Source: RNAcentral
GACGAGUGAACAGGUCAAGAUAGAAACCAAAUAUCAAUUAUUCAGAUGCAAUAUGUCCAAACCAAUUAUUCACCUGAAGUAACAUUGACGCCUUUGCACACAUAACUCCUCCACCAAAAGAGGGAUACAAGGAUGUGUUAUACUGGGAUCCAGAAAACUUGUUUGCUGAUGUGUUUAUAAGAAUUGUCACAUCCUCCACACCAUCACUUCCCAUAGGUGACCAGCCAUCAUCAGCAAACCCAUUGACAGCAUCAUUGAAACCCCUAGAGAACAUUUUGAGGUAUGAUUAGCUAAAGAAACCAGUAAUCAACGAGACUCAUAAAUCAUCAUUAAUUAUCAUGUUCUCUACAGUCAAUCCAGUCUUGUUCAAGGAAGCACUACCUGCAGAGUUUUUGACUAAACGUCCGCAGUACAGCAGGUUGACGUCCGCCAGUACAUUGAAUUUCUCCGUUAGUCUCUUGAGCAAUUUGUCUAAUGUGACGCAAUGCCUGGAAAACAUAUUCAACCCAUACAGUCAGAACAAAUAUGAUUUACUUGUCAAGAAAGUGAAACCUCA